GCGCGCGGCGCGCGGGCGGGACGCGGCGCUUCGCGCGUGCCGGGCGCGCCGGACGCGUCGGCCUGCGCGCGCC
This 73-nucleotide transfer RNA is filed under the name Burkholderia pseudomallei. RNAcentral's name for it is "tRNA-Ala(cgc)". Lineage: Bacteria; Pseudomonadati; Pseudomonadota; Betaproteobacteria; Burkholderiales; Burkholderiaceae. The record is from RNAcentral.